AUGAACGCUUGCGGCGUGCCUAAUACAUGCAAGUCGAGCGAACAGACGAGGAGCUGGCUCCUCUGACGUUAGCGGCGGACGGGUGAGUAACACGUGGAUAACCUACCUAUAAGACUGGGAUAACUUCGGGAAACCGGAGCUAAUACCUGAUAACAUGUUGAACCGCAUGGUUCAACAGUGAAAGACGGUCUUGCUGUCACUUAUAGAUGGAUCCGCGCCGCAUUAGCUAGUUGGUAAGGUAACGGCUUACCAAGGCAACGAUGCGUAGCCGACCUGAGAGGGUGAUCGGCCACACUGGAACUGAGACACGGUCCAGACUCCUACGGGAGGCAGCAGUAGGGAAUAUUCCGCAAUGGGCGAAAGCCUGACGGAGCAACGCCGCGUGAGUGAUGAAGGUCUUCGGAUCGUAAAACUCUGUUAUUAGGGAAGAACAAAUGUGUAAGUAACUAUGCACGUCUUGACGGUACCUAAUCAGAAAGCCACGGCUAACUACGUG
This 496-nucleotide ribosomal RNA is filed under the name uncultured bacterium. RNAcentral describes it as "partial 16S ribosomal RNA". It matches the Rfam family "Bacterial small subunit ribosomal RNA", at positions 29 to 507 of the family's 1533-position model. The record is from RNAcentral.